ACAAAAAAAAAAAAUAUAUCUAAAGAGUAAUCUUCCCCUAAUCCCCCUACCAGACAACCGUAUUUUAUCGUCACCCUCUCUCUUUCUCGUAGCCGCACCUCCUCUCCGUCGGUCUUCACGCAUAGCAGCACGCUCCAGCAGCCACUAGCCGUUCUCCGUCCCUCUCCUCUCCGCAUUAUAUGGUUGCUUUGGAUUAUUAUGGGAUUUGAUUUGUAAUAUUUCUUUUCCUUGUGAUCAAGCUUAGUCAAUUAAGUAAUGAGAUUCAGUUCUAUUUCAGUGUAUCAACUAUGAAUGAGUGUUUUAUGAUUAUAGUUAUUUAUGAGGCAAAUUAUUCUCUUAAGUGGAUAAUUAUUAAGGCUUGGUUGUUCAUGUUUUUAAUGUAAUUGUUUGCGCGACCUUGGAUUUAAGGCGCUGCUCAUUUUCUAAUUGGUACAUAUGAUCUGGUAAGAUAACUUUUUUUUUAAGUUUAAUUGGAAAUUUAAUUAAAUGAGAUGGUGUGAGGUGUGAUCGUGGUGGAGAUUAACAAACAAGAAUAAUGGAAGUUACACUUACACAUCACAGGUUGCAGUUAUGAAUUCUCUGCCGAAAAAUUCGAAACAACAGCAGGUCAUGAGGAAUCCUCCGUUUUUGACCCGUGCAGUGUUAAUUAAGAUCAUUCUAAUGCGUUGAAGCUUGAACUUGGAUUAUCUAGUCCUGUGGUUUCUUCAGAAGUUGGGAUUAGCCAACCCAAGGAGGAGCAUGAGGUGGAUGAAUUGAGUGAUGCUGAUUGGAGUAAUCUCACAGAAGUGCAAUUGGAAGAACUUCUCUUGAGCAAUUUGGACACCAUUUUUAAGAGUGCAAUAAAAAAGAUUGUUGCAAGUGCCUACACCGAAGAAGUUGCUAAAAAUCCAUCUUAAGGUCUGACAUCUGUUAUGGAUGUAAAGAUACCGUAUCAAAUAUAGUUGAUAAUACGUUAUGAAUCAUGCAGAUUUGUUUGAUGUAUACAUUAAUUUGUUUUCAUUGUCAAUGUUGAUCAUAGAGGUAAGUAACACUCUUGUAAUAUUUUCCAAGCCAUAAUUUUGGAAUUAAAGUCAGCAAGCAAAAUACUCCA
This is a long non-coding RNA of Arachis duranensis, 1090 nucleotides long. RefSeq lists it as uncharacterized. The transcript has 3 exons. The record is from RefSeq and is a predicted model, not a curated record. Lineage: Eukaryota; Viridiplantae; Streptophyta; Magnoliopsida; Fabales; Fabaceae.